UCCUGCCAUAUUUGUGCUUUCUGAUGCUGUUAAGUGGUCACCUUCCUGUCCUGUAGCACAGUUUCAACAAGAGGAGCAAUACUGCCCUGUAGAUCAUGCUGCUUCUGAGGGACCGCCACUGGGUGCUACCUCAGCCUGCAGCCUCUCCCACACAACGCGGUUGCCGCCAUUUUGUGAGAAGAAUGGGGAUCGUUCCUUUGAGGAAAGGCCUCACUCCAGGGGAAUUUCUGGUUUUACUUUUAAAUAAAGCCUGACAGAGAUGUUUAGAAAGUGCUUUCACCUAUGCCAUCUGUAAUGUUUGUAUUUCCUGAUGACCUUUUCAACAGUUUGUUAUUCUCAUUCUUCUGUCCAUGCGAGAAAGAUGGAAUUCUCCAAGGAAAGCUACUCGAACAUAUGGCAAGGUGGCCCUGCAGUUUGCAGACAAGGCUUCUGAACAAAACAAAGGGUGAAAAGUAAAAGAAAAGAAGGGAUCAGAGUACAGAUAAGGACAUGAAGCAAAACUGUAUUAGAGAAAAUAGGUCUCAUUAGGAGUUCAUGUGUCUCAAACCUUAUUCGAUAGA
Molecule: long non-coding RNA, 560 nt
Organism: Cygnus olor (mute swan)
Lineage: Eukaryota; Metazoa; Chordata; Aves; Anseriformes; Anatidae
Exons: 3
Source: RefSeq, a predicted model, not a curated record